Molecule: long non-coding RNA, 1004 nt
Organism: Passer montanus (Eurasian tree sparrow)
Lineage: Eukaryota; Metazoa; Chordata; Aves; Passeriformes; Passeridae
Exons: 3
Source: RefSeq, a predicted model, not a curated record
CCUUGGCAGGCUCAGUGUUUACUUGAUGCCUUAAUUAUUUUUGUUUUUAAAAUAAGAUGUGAUCCAGGAACUGGAGCUGAGUUGACCUUCUAUGAUGCCAUUGUUGGCGUGGUGCAAUGCUGGUUACAGUGUUGUAAGUGAUGGGACUUGUUAGAGACAAGAGGGAAUUCUUUCCACUUCAUGUGGCAAAGCAAAACAAGUUUUACUAGGAGCUUGCAUAAGAGGAUUUCUGUUUUAGCUUGGGUGUUCCUGAGGUAAUUAUGUGUUUACUGGGAUAAUUUUAGCCAUUUGUUAUUUGUUGUGAAAGACUGAUAUUUUCAGUGUAGUGCAUAGGAUGGAAGUGGUAAAACAACAAAGGCUGUUCCAGAACCCCUCUUCAUUUAUCCUCAAGGAUAAACAAACCUUCUAGCUACAGAACAAGAGGAAAUGGCCUCAGGCUGUGCCAGGGGAGCUUCAGGUUGGACAUCAGGAGGAAUUUCUUUGCUGCAAGGGUGAUUAAACAUUGGACUGGGCUGGCCAGGGAGGUGAGGGAGUCAUGGUCCCUGGAGGUGUUCAGGAGAUGACUGGAUAUGGCACUCAGUGCUCUGCUUUAGUUCAUAUGGUGGUGCUUAGCCAAAGGUUGGACUUGAUGCUUUUGGAGGUCUUUUCCAUCCUAAAUGAGUCUACAAUUCUUAAUUUUUCCCUAUAUACAGGUUAGAGAUACAGAUCAAUGGAAUUCACCACAAACUACUCCUGUUUCUACUGGAUUCUGAGAACUUGGAUAAACUGGCUUUCUUGAGCUUAUUUAGAUCCUUCAUGUUCAGGACUUGCAGCAACUGCACUUUGCUGUGUUCAGUCUCUGUUUUUGAGGUGCCAGGCUUGGGGGCUACAGCCUGGAGGAACUGGACAAGCACAUCUCUCUGCUCCAUGAGUACAAUGAAAUCAAAGAUGCUGGGCAGAUGCUCCUGGGCAAGCUAGCUGUUAUCCGAGGGGUCACUACAAAACAGCUCUAUCCUGAGUAUGAC